UCCGCAGGCGGUCAAUUAAGUCAGAGGUGAAAUACCAUAGCUCAACUAUGGAACUGCCUUUGAUACCGGUUGACUUGAGUCAUAUGGAAGUAGAUAGAAUGUGUAGUGUAGCGGUGAAAUGCAUAGAUAUUACACAGAAUACCGAUUGCGAAGGCAGUCUACUACGUAUGUACUGACGCUGAGGGACGAAAGCGUGGGGAGCGAACAGGAUUAGAUACCCUGGUAGUCC
RNAcentral lists this ribosomal RNA (229 nucleotides) under uncultured bacterium. RNAcentral describes it as "partial 16S ribosomal RNA". It matches the Rfam family "Bacterial small subunit ribosomal RNA", at positions 568 to 796 of the family's 1533-position model. The record is from RNAcentral.